RNAcentral lists this ribosomal RNA (165 nucleotides) under uncultured bacterium. Its description in RNAcentral is "partial 16S ribosomal RNA". It matches the Rfam family "Bacterial small subunit ribosomal RNA", at positions 355 to 511 of the family's 1533-position model. The record is from RNAcentral.
UAGGGAAUCUUCCACAAUGGACGAAAGUACUGAUGGAGCAACGCCGCGUGAGUGAAGAAGGGUUUCGGCUCGUAAAACUCUGUUGUUAAAGAAGAACAUAUCUGAGAGUAACUGUUCAGGUAUUGACGGUAUUUAACCAGAAAGCCACGGCUAACUACGUGUCAG